ACGACACGGAUGACAAGGUAAGUGACAUCGUACAUGCUCUGGGUGUCUUGAGGAGCUUGUCUUUGGAUGAUGCUGAGCAGGUCUUUCUUUCUGGUAACGGUUAUCAUUACAGUGAAGUAAAAGAAUUUAACAGACAGAUUGACAAACAACUGACAAAAGAAGAGAGACCAUUUAAUAGUGGAUACCCUUCCAGCCGCAACCCAGUACUGGGAAACACCCAUUUACACUUAUAUACUUGAACAUGGGGAGAACAUGCAAACUCCACACAGAAAUGACCACUGGCCCAGCCGGGGCUUGAACCAGCAACCUUCUUGCUGUGAGGCGACGGUGCUAACCACUGUGCUGCCCCAUGUGCUCUAUGCGGGUGAGUGGGAUUGACAAACCACCUGGAGGACACACUCUUGCUGUCUUAAUGCACAAGACAUUUUGUUAUAAAUAAUCAUGUGCGUUUCAUGUUUAUUUAUAAAUCUGCUAAUUUAUCUCAUAGCACUUCAUUUUUGUCUUGAUAUUUAAUAUCUUUUGUUUAAAUACACUAUGAACAGCAGCUGCGCUAAUUAUUUUCUUUGUUCCCUAUUUCCACCUGGGGAUAUUUAUCUAGAGGCCUCUAGAGAUCGUGACCUGUGAAGAGAUGAUGCCACCAUAGAGGACUUCUAGAUGUAUCCAUAAUCCUGGACCAGACCGCAUCACGAGCAGAUGCAGUGGUGGUCAUGGAGAAGUGGAGAGCAUGAUACUGAUUAAUGAAAGACCCCAGUGACAGAUG
Molecule: non-coding RNA, 760 nt
Organism: Danio rerio (zebrafish)
Lineage: Eukaryota; Metazoa; Chordata; Actinopteri; Cypriniformes; Danionidae
Source: Ensembl